AAAGCGUUAAGUUAUCCACCUGGGGAGUACGCCGGCAACGGUGAAACUCAAAGGAAUUGACGGGGGCCCGCACAAGCGGAGGAGCAUGUGGUUUAAUUCGAAGCAACGCGAAGAACCUUACCAGGUCUUGACAUCCUCUGACAACCCUAGAGAUAGGGCGUUCCCCUUCGGGGGACAGAGUGACAGGUGGUGCAUGGUUGUCGUCAGCUCGUGUCGUGAGAUGUUGGGUUAAGUCCCGCAACGAGCGCAACCCUUGAUCUUAGUUGCCAGCAUUUAGUUGGGCACUCUAAGGUGACUGCCGGUGACAAACCGGAGGAAGGUGGGGAUGACGUCAAAUCAUCAUGCCCCUUAUGACCUGGGCUACACACGUGCUACAAUGGAUGGUACAAAGGGCAGCAAAACCGCGAGGUCGAGCCAAUCCCAUAAAACCAUUCUCA
RNAcentral lists this ribosomal RNA (437 nucleotides) under uncultured bacterium. Its description in RNAcentral is "bacterial SSU rRNA". It matches the Rfam family "Bacterial small subunit ribosomal RNA", at positions 854 to 1290 of the family's 1533-position model. The record is from RNAcentral.